This 157-nucleotide small nucleolar RNA is filed under the name Xylona heveae TC161. Lineage: Eukaryota; Fungi; Ascomycota; Xylonomycetes; Xylonales; Xylonaceae. The record is from RNAcentral.
CUUCGGGCUGAUAACUAGGCAAUGGUCUCAAUUUUUAUAAACUCCACGACCUUUGUCUUUUAAGUGUCCGAUAGAUCAUGUUUUGCGAGGAUCUUACACGUUCUCUGAAUUUUUUUAUUUUUCCAUGAAGUACAACGUUUAAUUCAUCGCAACAUAC